Molecule: RNA transcript, 1524 nt
Organism: Neltuma alba
Lineage: Eukaryota; Viridiplantae; Streptophyta; Magnoliopsida; Fabales; Fabaceae
Gene name: receptor-like protein EIX2
Exons: 3
Source: RefSeq, a predicted model, not a curated record
AAAUUAAGUAAUUCAAUGGCUCCCUACAGACAUGAUUAUUUCAUGAAAAUUGAUUUGCACACAAAGGGUCAAGAAUUAGAGUAUCAGAAAAAUCUAAACUACGUGCGAAGCAUCGAUCUAUCGGCUAACGAGCUAUCAGGAGAAAUUCCUGUACAAAUGUUCGAGCUCACCAAGUUACAAUCCUUGAACUUGUCUUAUAAUUAUCUAAGUGGAGAGAUACCAGAGCUAAUCGGAGAGAUGAAAAAUCUAGAAUCUCUUGAUUUCUCCCAUAACAAUCUUCAUGGGAGUAUUCCUCAGAGCAUGUCUGGCUUAUCUUUCCUAAGUGACUUGAAUCUGUCUUACAACCACUUGAAUGGACAAAUUCCAUCGGGCACUCAGCUUCAGAGCUUUGAUGCUUGGAGUUACAUUGGAAAUCUUGAACUUUGUGGACCUCCUCUUCAAAAGAACUGCACAAUACCAAAGAAAACAGACAAUACAGGGCAGGUUGAAGGAAAUGAGGAUGAUGCUUUCUUGAAGUCAAUGUAUCUUGGAAUGGGAUUGGCUUUGCUGUGGGAUUCUGGGUAGUUUCUGGUUCUCUGUUCCUGAACAGAGCAUGGAGGCACACUUAUUUUCGAUUUUUUAAUGGUGUGGUUGAUCAAAUCUAUGUCACUGUGGCCAUAAAACUUCGGAGAUUUGGUUGAAUGGGAAUAUGCUACAGCUCCAGAGUUAGAGCGGACUCAUAUCAUUCAUGCUUAUUUCUAAAAGCAAUAGGCAGUUGAUUCCAGAUUUUCAAGACUCGUCGUUGCUUAUGAUCCUUGAUUGAUGGAAGUUUGGAUGAAGCUUUCGUACAUGGUGGCAACCUCAAUAAGUAUUCAGAUGUUUUCGGUGGUGUUUUGUAAUUUGUGUCUGUCAUUGUGCUUACUGAUUGAUUUGGCUGUUUAGAAAAAUUUGGCAAAGACUUGAGAGGGGAAACGUUGAGAAGGACUUGACAUGGAUGAUGAUCUGUUUUUUUAAAGGCGUGAGAGGGUAUUUAUUAUCUUUCCAAUUCAUGUUUAAAGAUAAGGAUUGAUAUGGAAAAUUUUUCAUUUACAACAACAAAGUUUAUGAUUCAAGGCAGCAAAAAAAGUAGAUUUUUCAUCCUUUAACUUUAAAAAUAGUUUGAUUUCUUAAUUUUAUAAAAUAUCUUUUCAAUCCUCCAAUCCUAACAUGACUAAUGUCAAAUAAUGGUAAUUUUUUAUACCAAUCAUUGUAAUUUUAAGAAAUUAAAUUUAACAUAAUACCUAUGUCAAGUUUCUUAUAUUCAUUAUAUUAAGUUUUUCAAUUACAUUUUGCCAUAUGUUUUUUUUUUUUAAUAUCAACCCAUAUAAAAAAGAUACAUGGAAAAGUAUGAUUUGAGAAUUCGAUAUAAUAGUCAUAAGAAGCUUGACCUCAAUUUUUUCCUUAAAUUUAAUAUAUCAGCAUUUAUGAAUGUUUUGUCAAUAUUUAAAAUUUUAAUAUCAGUAUUUUUUACUAAUAAAACGCAUGGUGUUAGAGUUAAAGGGCUGA